This is a small nucleolar RNA of Acipenser ruthenus (sterlet), 130 nucleotides long. Lineage: Eukaryota; Metazoa; Chordata; Actinopteri; Acipenseriformes; Acipenseridae. The record is from RefSeq and is a predicted model, not a curated record.
UUGCACUGUUCGUAACCUGGGAUCAGUCCCUCUCCUGAUGUUGGGUUCCAUUCCAGUGCUACAGUAAAUCAUCUGGAACAAUCGGUGGGCUGCUGCUGUGUGCCAUCCAUCUGUUCUGUGUGUAACAUUA